This 324-nucleotide small nuclear RNA is filed under the name Mesitornis unicolor (brown roatelo). RNAcentral describes it as "7SK RNA". The stretch from base 1 to 150 matches the Rfam family "7SK RNA", at positions 44 to 171 of the family's 331-position model. The record is from Rfam by way of RNAcentral. Lineage: Eukaryota; Metazoa; Chordata; Aves; Mesitornithiformes; Mesitornithidae.
UCAUGGGAAUCCUGGCUUCUGCAGCGCCUUGGCUUGCAGCCUGUUGAUGUUUCUCCGCAGGUGUCCCCUUCCUCCCUCACCGAUCAAUGUACGUCUCUUCCAAAGCUGCAUGCUCAGUCAAAGAGGACGACCUUCCCUGAUAAUGAAAGACAAUGCUUAACUCAGAACUCAACAGGAAAAUAAAAUAAAUCAUUAAAAAGCUUCUGUCUUUAAGAAAUAACUCUAACUAAACAAACAUGACAUUUUAAAUUAAAUUUAAUGCUUAAUUUAAUAAAAGAAAUUUUGCUGUUUAGGUUUUUUAACAUCUGAUGUAUCCAUUUCAAU